CACUUUGUGUGCAUAAUUCAUCUGUGUGCUUCCAUCAAUGUAUUUCCCUACAAUUUGACUGUUUGUCUUUGACUCAUCCUUGUAUUAACAUUUAGAGAAAUGAUGCCAUGGAUUUGUUCUUGUCAUGUAGGAUGCUGACUGAUGUUCUUCUUCUGUUGGUUUCCUCGUCCUCCUCCUGGAUGCCCUGGAUUAGAGCAGACCUCCCUGCCGCCGCUCACACACAGACCUGCUUCUUCUCAACUCCUCAAUCUCAGUUCUCACCCCCGAUGGAGUAACGUUUCACGUCGGAGGGGAACGCUGAUUGUCCAGACAGGUGGAGGCUGAGCCACAGAGACAAGUCCUGCUGUAUCGCUGGUGUUGAGAUGUCUGAGCCUGGAGGACUGUGACACUCAUUAGGAAUCCCAUCACCAGCACUGAUGUUGUGGAGGUCUGAAGGACACGCGCCGCGCACUCACAUGUAACUUUGGAGGACUCACUUGUGUCAUGUAUUUUAAACUGGCACUUGCUCUGGUUAUAACGUCGGUGUGAGGAGCACGUGAAGGAAAUCAAACACACUCACUCACACAUGGACUCAGAGACCAGGAAGCUGUAAAAACCCUCAACAGUCAUGGUGGUCCACUGGGAUCUGUCUCCUUCAGGGCCUGGCUUUACAGUAAUGGACCACAGGAAGGACAGAAAAGCCACAUUGUUCCCAAAACAUCUCUCACUCAUCAUUUUUUAAAAUCAUAAUUGUUCUCUUUUAUUGUGUGCGUGUCAUUCACACUGCAGCCCGCUCUCUUCGAUGGGUUUUAUCAUUUUAUUUGCGUUACCAAAUCUAUUGUGAAAGGAUUAUUUCACCUUCUAGUUGUUGUUUUUUCAUUUGUCAGAAUGAGUUUAUAUUUAUGUCAUAUAACCCCUCCUCCCUCUUUCCGUCUUUCCCCUCCUACUCUUUUUUUAACCCCUCUCUUUUCCCAUCAAGCCUCACUUUCCUGCAAAAUCCACCUCUCAAGACUGAUACCUAGAUUAGUUUUCUCUUUUUCCAAGGUCAGACUGACGUGUAUCAUGUUUGAUACUUGUGGAUCAGCCCAUUCUGUCCUGUCAGUCCACAUUGUUUUCACUGCUGCUGGUGUGAGCUGCACUGACAUUAUAGAGCACACAGUAACUUCAGCAAGUUUACCUCCGGAGCAUAUUGAUCAGAAAUGCUUAAGGAAGUCGAGUCAUUAACCAAAAGGACUACAGUGGCAGAAAGAGAUACCUGGUGGGAAAUGGCCUCUCCAGUAGAAUCUCUGGGGCCUUUUAAUCUGGUAAUUCUCUGCUGAGAUGCAAGUAAGAGGAUUUUUGCCUUAAAUGUAAAGAUGAUGUUUAGUGGGAUGACAGACAGCACAUAAUGGGUUUACUAAGCCGCAGCUCCCAUUGUUAAUGUUAUUAUGCUCUAACCUAUAUCGGGUGUUUCAUCCAUGGACACAUUUGAAUUUUAUUUUAUUUUUGAAAUAUCUGUCAUCUUGAAAUAUGACUGACACACGAACAUUCAAAUUCAAAUCCAUACAACAGCUUUGUUGCAUUCUGAUUUUGCUUUUAUUUAAACCACGUAGCAAAGGAUUACCGUGCUUUUUUCUGCACGACAUCGCUUAUUGGAUCAUUUUCCUUUCGCUGUGAUAUAGUCUAGUGCUCCAAGUGUAACAUCAGUGCAUCGGUUUCAAUUAACAACUGUGCAAACCUCUUCUUUUUUUUUUCCUCUGUGUACAAGGAGGGUUGAUGACUGCAGAGGGAGAAGCAGCUGCUCUCGUCCACAUGAUUAACCAGCGUCUGAGCGUGCUGCAGGAACACGCGUGUAAUGUGCAUGGACUGUCUCCAAGACAUUGACCUUAAACGUCCCUAAUAAAUAAAGACAACCUUGCACACAACACAUUAGCACCACUCGCCAUCUCUGUGGAUGCAACCCAUUCAUACUGUGAAAUGGAUAUUUUUUUUUCAUUUUCAGGUAAUGUUGCUCCCUUGAACUGACCGAGCUGACUGGACGUCGGAGUGUGGGAAUAUCACAUGUGCUGAGGUAGAAAGGAAAAUAAGUCCAGUUUCAUUUUUGGGAUUCUAACUCAGGGUGACCAGUCCACUGUCAGCUAAUCCCGUCUCCCUCCUCGUAUAUUGUCUUUUGUAUCAGAGAAGAAACGCUCGCGGUUCAGUCUCUGCAUUAAGUCAGCCUGUCAGAAUGCUUCCCUCGAGAGCUUUGGACUUCAAGUUCAUCCCGGUGGUUCCUCUGCUGGUGGCCCCCACUGGAGGAGCAAGGUCACAGUGGGCCCGAGUGUCGAAAUUUUCACACAGCUUCAGCAGAAAUCGCACACGUAUUUUUACACAAUGUUUGUCGGUAAAAGCUAAUUCAAUAGUCUGAGGACAAUUUCUUUAAAUUGCACUAAUGUGGUUCAGAUGGGAUUGCAGGCAAAAUGACUUAAGAUAAUAAACUUAUUGAAAACACAUUGUUUUUCUAUUUUUUUUUUUUUUAAUGUUUUUCUGCCAAAAAUAUGUUUGUAUAGAUGAAAACACCAGAAUCCUUUGGCUGCAAUGUAAUAGCAACCUUUGUAGAAUGUUUUAUUUCAUUGUUUUUAAUUAUGUAUUUAAAAAGUCCAAUAGAGUAUAAUAUUGUGGGCACUAAUAGGGGACUGUAAUAUAUGUGGCAUUUUUUGUGGAUUAUUGGAAGGACUUUCUAAAUAAAUAAAUGAAUCAU
This is a long non-coding RNA of Solea senegalensis (Senegalese sole), 2698 nucleotides long. RefSeq lists it as uncharacterized. The record is from RefSeq and is a predicted model, not a curated record. Lineage: Eukaryota; Metazoa; Chordata; Actinopteri; Pleuronectiformes; Soleidae. The transcript has 5 exons.